CUGCACUGAUGAUCAUAGAUGUGACUGACCUGGAAUUGCUGGCCUCUGGGUCGGCUCUAGCCAGGAGAUGACCUCCGUUAAUCUUCUCUCUGAGCAU
This 97-nucleotide small nucleolar RNA is filed under the name Amphilophus citrinellus (Midas cichlid). Its description in RNAcentral is "Z30 small nucleolar RNA (ENSACIG00000004599.1)". It matches the Rfam family "Z30 small nucleolar RNA". From Rfam's summary of the family: Z30 belongs to the C/D class of snoRNA which contain the C (UGAUGA) and D (CUGA) box motifs. Most of the members of the box C/D family function in directing site-specific 2'-O-methylation of substrate RNAs. Lineage: Eukaryota; Metazoa; Chordata; Actinopteri; Cichliformes; Cichlidae. The record is from RNAcentral.